RNAcentral lists this ribosomal RNA (527 nucleotides) under Rhizopus delemar. RNAcentral describes it as "eukaryotic LSU rRNA". The stretch from base 178 to 331 matches the Rfam family "5.8S ribosomal RNA". Lineage: Eukaryota; Fungi; Mucoromycota; Mucoromycetes; Mucorales; Rhizopodaceae. The record is from RNAcentral.
UUACCUUAGGGUUUCCUCUGGGGUAAGUGAUUGCUUCUACACUGUGAAAAUUUGGCUGAGAGACUCAGACUGGUCAUGGGUAGACCUAUCUGGGGUUUGAUCGAUGCCACUCCUGGUUUCAGGAGCACCCUUCAUAAUAAACCUAGAAAUUCAGUAUUAUAAAGUUUAAUAAAAAACAACUUUUAACAAUGGAUCUCUUGGUUCUCGCAUCGAUGAAGAACGUAGCAAAGUGCGAUAACUAGUGUGAAUUGCAUAUUCAGUGAAUCAUCGAGUCUUUGAACGCAGCUUGCACUCUAUGGUUUUUCUAUAGAGUACGCCUGCUUCAGUAUCAUCACAAACCCACACAUAACAUUUGUUUAUGUGGUAAUGGGUCGCAUCGCUGUUUUAUUACAGUGAGCACCUAAAAUGUGUGUGAUUUUCUGUCUGGCUUGCUAGGCAGGAAUAUUACGCUGGUCUCAGGAUCUUUUUCUUUGGUUCGCCCAGGAAGUAAAGUACAAGAGUAUAAUCCAGCAACUUCAAACUACGAU